CCCCCCCGAAACUGAAAAACGGCAUGCAUUUCUGGCGCUGAUUACUAAAAACGGCACGAAACAACCGCAGGUUGAUACGACUCCACACAAAACAUGCAGAGCUGCUUUGUCCUUUUUGACAGGUGGCGCAGAGCUCAAACUAUGUACUCAACACACACUCUGCACCAAGUUAAAAUGCCUUACUGCUCGCUCAGUCUCGUUGGUGACCUCUGCUUUUGUCCCCUAUUUCUUAUGCUUUUUGUCAGUGAUACUUACUGCGCAAUGUAUGACAUUUUUGUGGACUAAGUAAAACUUCCUUUACAUA
Molecule: long non-coding RNA, 304 nt
Organism: Raphanus sativus (radish)
Lineage: Eukaryota; Viridiplantae; Streptophyta; Magnoliopsida; Brassicales; Brassicaceae
Exons: 2
Source: RefSeq, a predicted model, not a curated record